CCUACGGGUGGCAGCAGUGAGGAAUAUUGGUCAAUGGACGAGAGUCUGAACCAGCCAAGUAGCGUGAAGGAUGACUGCCCUAUGGGUUGUAAACUUCUUUUAUAAAGGAAUAAAACGAGGCACGUGUGCCUUUUUGCAUGUACUUUAUGAAUAAGGAUCGGCUAACUCCGUGCCAGCAGCCGCGGUAAUACGGAGGAUCCGAGCGUUAUCCGGAUUUAUUGGGUUUAAAGGGAGCGUAGAUGGGUUGUUAAGUCAGUUGUGAAAGUUUGCGGCUCAACCGUAAAUUGCAAUUGAUACUGGCAGUCUUGAGUACAGUUGAGGCAGGCGGAAUUCGUGGUGUAGCGGUGAAAUGCUUAGAUAUCACGAAGAACCCCGAUUGCGAAGGCAGCUUACUAAACUGUGACUGACAUUGAUGCUCGAAAGCGUGGGGAGCAAACAGGAUUAGAUACCCCAGUAGUC
This 459-nucleotide ribosomal RNA is filed under the name uncultured bacterium. RNAcentral's name for it is "partial 16S ribosomal RNA". It matches the Rfam family "Bacterial small subunit ribosomal RNA", at positions 338 to 795 of the family's 1533-position model. The record is from RNAcentral.